GGUUUGAAGUUCAAACUCAAGCUUUAACAAGCUUCUCGUUAUUAUCUCCAAUGGUCAUACAAUAGUGCUGUAUGAGACACGGCUUGAUACCUAUUCAACGACCCUAGACAUCUUUUUUAUUCCAGCAAAAAAAAAAAAAAAAAAAAAAAAAGAAAAAGAAUGGGAGUGUCUCAAUUCGAUGUCAAAUAUGUUUUCUUUAUAAUUUUACUUUCGCAUUCCAGAAAAAAAUUUAAAAAAAUUGUUUAUAACACAUCAGAACCAGGUAAAGGUUUUACGGAGAGGUUUAAUUUAAAAUAAAAUAAAAAUACGAGGUCCUGAAUAGUUUCCUUUCCUUCCUCCUAAGCCUCCGAGGCUUCACUCCCUAAGUCCCAGGCGGCCAAGCCUAGUUUGCAAUCACCGGCGGUCGAUCUCCGACAAUGUUAAAUCACCGGCAGGGCCAAGAGAACCUGGUGGUGCUGUUGAUCUCAUAACUUAUUACAAGCUUUGGUCUCAUUUUCCCUUUUUUUUGCAAGAGGUCACUCCCUCUCACUGUAUCUGACAGUGACAUCCAAAAGGGAAGGCAUGGAGUUGGAUCAGCUUCUUCAAAAUGCCUCCCAUUUGAGAGAAAGAAAUGCAUGUAUAUACCAUUUUGAUUUGGAUCUACCAAGGGAUGCUUUUCAUAUGAGGGAGACAACUCCUGUUAACCAGCCUUUUAAACGAUAUUGUAAUUUCUGUAUGCAUUGACAGACAGAGAAGGGCAUCUCCACUGCAACAGCAAAGUUAAAAAGUGACUUUAAAGACAGAGAGAAGGGGCAUAGAAAACACAAAGACCAGCACAGUUAGAAGGAUCGUAAGAAGAAGACACUGUUACAAGGGCAAGAGCAGUGUUAAGGGUAAGAAUAUAAAUGAUGCUCAUGGAUUUAGCCUCGAGGACUUGGAGAAACAGCAGGAGAUGGUUUGCACACCAUCUUUUCUUGUUGCCCUCUGUUGAUUGUACGUCCUAAAUUUUGUUGCCAUAUGUUGGUUGCAUGAUUACGGUUUUUCUUUUUUCUUUUUUCCUUUUUUUAUGAAAGCAUUGUUAAUAUGCUAAGAACUUGCCGGAUGACUAUUAACUUGGAUGUCCAUUUGAGUGUUGUA
Ziziphus jujuba (common jujube) is the source of this 1116-nucleotide long non-coding RNA. RefSeq lists it as uncharacterized. Lineage: Eukaryota; Viridiplantae; Streptophyta; Magnoliopsida; Rosales; Rhamnaceae. The transcript is spliced from 3 exons. The record is from RefSeq and is a predicted model, not a curated record.